RNAcentral lists this ribosomal RNA (460 nucleotides) under uncultured bacterium. RNAcentral's name for it is "partial 16S ribosomal RNA". It matches the Rfam family "Bacterial small subunit ribosomal RNA", at positions 338 to 795 of the family's 1533-position model. The record is from RNAcentral.
CCUACGGGAGGCAGCAGUGAGGAAUAUUGGUCAAUGGGCGCGAGCCUGAACCAGCCAAGUAGCGUGAAGGAUGACUGCCCUACGGGUUGUAAACUUCUUUUAUAAAGGAAUAAAGUGAGGCAAGUGUGCCUUUUUGUAUGUACUUUAUGAAUAAGGAUCGGAUAACUCCGUGCCAGCAGCCGCGGUAAUACGGAGGAUCCGAGCGUUAUCCGGUUUUAUUGGGUUUAAAGGGAGCGUAGAUGGGUUGUUAAGUCAGUUGGGAAAGUUUGCGGCUCAACCGUAAAAUUGCAAUUGAUACUGGCAGCCUUGAGUACAGUUGAGGGAGGCGGAAUUCGUGGUGUAGCGGUGAAAUGCUUAGAUAGCACGAAGAACUCCGAUUGCGAAGGCAGCCUACUAAACUGCCACUGACAUUGAGGCUCGAAAGUGUGGGUAUCAAACAGGAGUAGAUACCCCUGUAGUC